This 254-nucleotide ribosomal RNA is filed under the name uncultured bacterium. RNAcentral describes it as "partial 16S ribosomal RNA". It matches the Rfam family "Bacterial small subunit ribosomal RNA", at positions 524 to 777 of the family's 1533-position model. The record is from RNAcentral.
UACAGAGGGUGCGAGCGUUAAUCGGAAUUACUGGGCGUAAAGCGCACGUAGGCGGCUUGGUAUGUCGGGUGUGAAAUCCCCGGGCUCAACCUGGGAACUGCAUCCGAAACUGCCUUGCUAGAGUAUGGGAGAGGGAAGUGGAAUUUCCGGUGUAGCGGUGAAAUGCGUAGAUAUCGGAAGGAACAUCAGUGGCGAAGGCGACUUCCUGGACCAAUACUGACGCUCAGGUGCGAAAGCGUGGGGAGCAAACAGGG